This 631-nucleotide transfer RNA is filed under the name uncultured Prochlorococcus sp. RNAcentral describes it as "partial 16S-23S ribosomal RNA intergenic spacer". The stretch from base 239 to 311 matches the Rfam family "tRNA". Lineage: Bacteria; Bacillati; Cyanobacteriota; Cyanophyceae; Synechococcales; Prochlorococcaceae. The record is from RNAcentral.
UAAUGAUGUCUGAAUUAAAUAUCAGGCCAUAAUCCUGUCACCUUAGGUCGAUCGGUACCUCAGAUUCAGAUAUAAAUCAAGGAUUUAUCCUUACUUUUUUGUUUUGAAUUUCAGUUCCUAAACUUGUCUAGGUCACACCCAACAAACUUUCUCCUGGGCUAUUAGCUCAGGCGGUUAGAGCGCACCCCUGAUAAGGGUGGGGUCCCUGGUUCAAGUCCAGGAUGGCCCAUUCGUUGUUGGGGGUAUAGCUCAGUUGGUAGAGCGCCUGCUUUGCAAGCAGGAUGUCAGCGGUUCGAGUCCGCUUACCUCCACUGAUCAACUACCUGAUAACUCAGUUUGGAGAUUGUUAUUUGGUGAAUGUGAUUUAGAAGUUGUUCAUCUGAAUGAACCUAGCUUCAUGUCAAACCUUAGUUUUUUGUUUGAUAAGACGCUGGGCUCACUGUUAUUCGAAAGAGUAUCAGUUUGAUUCAGUGGAACCUUGACAACUGCAUAGGAAAUCUAGAAAACAAAGCAUCUCAUAGAUGUGUAGAAAGUGCAUUCAAAUUUAUGAAUAUGCUUUUUAUAUUCAAUUCUUAAGUUAGAGCAUAAAUUCGUAUGAAAAAUAAAAUCUAAUACGAAUUUAUUUUGGUCA